RNAcentral lists this ribosomal RNA (332 nucleotides) under uncultured Anaerolineaceae bacterium. RNAcentral's name for it is "bacterial SSU rRNA". It matches the Rfam family "Bacterial small subunit ribosomal RNA", at positions 1034 to 1382 of the family's 1533-position model. The record is from RNAcentral. Lineage: Bacteria; Bacillati; Chloroflexota; Anaerolineae; Anaerolineales; Anaerolineaceae.
ACAGGUGCUGCAUGGCUGUCGUCAGCUCGUGUCGUGAGAUGUUCGUUAGUCCGCUAACGAGCGCAACCCUCGCUGUGUGUUAUAUGUGUCACACGGGACUGCCGGUCUUAAGCCGGAGGAAGUGGGGAUGAUGUCAAGUCAGCAUGGCCUUUAUAUCCAGGGCUACACACACGCUACAAUGGUCGGUACAAUAGGUUGCCAAGCCGCGAGGCGGAGCCAAUCCAAAAAAGCCGGCCUCAGUUCAGAUUGUAGGCUGCAACUCGCCUGCAUGAAGAUGGAGUUGCUAGUAACCGCAGGUCAGCAAUACUGCGGUGAAUACGUUCCCGGGUCUU